This 119-nucleotide ribosomal RNA is filed under the name Triticum aestivum (bread wheat). RNAcentral also lists the same sequence under 1 other name. The record is from RNAcentral. Lineage: Eukaryota; Viridiplantae; Streptophyta; Magnoliopsida; Poales; Poaceae.
GGAUGCGAUCAUAGCAGCACUAAAGCACCGGAUCCCAUCAGAACUCCGAAGUUAAGCGUGCUUGGGCGAGAGUAGUACUAAGAUGGGUGACCUCUUGGGAAGUCCUCGUGUUGCAUUCC